CUGUUCCGGUGGCUCCAUGCUUGCUGUCCACACAGAGAUUUGCUGCCACAUUUCGGAUCUGUGGAAAGAAGAAAGAAUUUUGAGUGUGGGGCUAUGUCGUAUUUUAUCAUUGGCUCCUAACAACCAUGGUGUAGAUUAGAUAAGUAAAUUAAGGGUGCACAAGAGGAGAGAAAAUGAGAUCUGAUAGAAAACUUCACCGUGAGACUUCAAGAAUAUCUGCAGAGAAACUCAUCAAAA
RNAcentral lists this long non-coding RNA (237 nucleotides) under Homo sapiens (human). RNAcentral's name for it is "HSALNT0080818". Lineage: Eukaryota; Metazoa; Chordata; Mammalia; Primates; Hominidae. The record is from RNAcentral.